RNAcentral lists this long non-coding RNA (1580 nucleotides) under Erythranthe guttata (spotted monkey flower). Its description in RNAcentral is "long non-coding RNA (EGUT_LNC003064)". The record is from RNAcentral. Lineage: Eukaryota; Viridiplantae; Streptophyta; Magnoliopsida; Lamiales; Phrymaceae.
UUAAAUUGGAUGGAUGAUAGUAGCCGUAGGGCAAGAUGAAAAGACCGAUCCAAAGGAACGAGUUGCAAAGAACGAGUUGCAAAGGGAUGAAUGUCGACGCUGGGAAUCGUCGAAUCCCAAUUUUAUGGUAGCUCGCUAUUUCUUUUCCUGCCCUUAAUUUUCAGCAAUUACUGCAUUUAUUUGAUCCUAAAUAUGUACAGGGGGUUUGGGUUACUCCAGUUUUCCUGGUAUCUUGCUUAAGCAAUCUUUUUUUUUUUUAGUUGUUCUGAUGCAGUUUUUGUUCUUAUUACAUUUGAUUUGGUUGAUCUGAAUUAGCUUACACAUAUUUAUGCCAAAUGCAUUUAUGCCGCCUCGUUUGGAAAUUAGGUUUAUUAGACAAUUUUAUUUCAAAUUGGUGGCAAGUGAUGUUUGAUGCACGGAAAUGUUGUAAUAGAUCCUGUAGUGAAUCGUUAAUUUGAUCGGAGCUUGUAAUUUUACUGCGUGUGUGGAUUUCAUCACUUAUAUGAUCAUAAGAAGCUAGAGAGUGAACCUGUACUUCUAUAUCUAAGGUGGUUACUGAUAUAUGUUGCACAAUUUAAGAGAUAAUCGUGUUUGAAUGGACUCGAUGUCAAUUGAUGAACAAAGACGUACAGUUUUAAGGUGCAAGUAGUUAACCGAGAGACUCGAUUUACUAAUGACUCAUCUGUCGAGUCCCAUUUUGCAUAUUAGGUACCUGAAGCUUGUCAUACUUCCUGCAUUACCUCAAACACUGAUUUCACUAAGUAUCGUAAUCGCAUGGUUAAUUAAGAUUCAGCAUAUUUGAUUGUUCAGAGAACAUCCAGAAUUUGGUGCUAUCUUCGGGCUAAUUACACAAGUCUUUUGUGGAUGUAACUCUGUGUUUCUUGUUUUGAUUCUUUGUCUUCUUCCAUGCUUUUUUUUUUUUUUUUGUUUGAGAUCCUUUAGGAAUAAAUUAAAUAUGCAAACUUUCAUGCUUAAACCCACUGAACAAUUCUUCAUUCGGCUUCUGAAAUAGGCAGGAUAACUUAUGAUAAACGAUUCAGCAUGAAUUUCUGAUGCAAAUAGCCUAUUCGGGACGUCAAAGAAUAGCCUAUUCGGUGGGAUUUCUCAUGAAAAUUAAGCCUUUGCUACAAGAAAAAACCAUCAAUGUUGUGCUUAUAACCUGUCACCACUCAUCAAAGCCAAGUGGCUGAUUUUGGAAUUCCAGUUAUGACUUAUUAGACCAUUAUUUCAUUUGGAAUUCUUAUUUUUUUAUUUUUUUAUUUUGUGUGUGUGUGUGUAUCAAUAUAGCUAAGUUGUUUGAGUUUUGGCACCUUCCCGACUAAAUGUAAGUAUGAAUGCUGUACAUUUCAAGUAUGAAAAGGGAUGAUAUCAUAUUCAAAUUAAACUGUAUAAUCGGCUAUUGACUGAGAUACUGUGGUCCUGGAUUUCCUUGUGAACUCUAUCCAUUAGUUUUGAGAUCAUUUCAGCUUCACAAUAUAUACCUUUGCUUCUAUUUUCCAGCAUUUUCUUGUUCUACUCGCAGGUCUUUUUCGUGCUCUUUUUUUUUUAUAAUUAUUAUUAAUGUGAAAGAGUUUAUAGCA